AAUCCUUAUGGCCCUGGUUACAUGCAAGCAUCAGCAACAACCAACAGUGCUGCACAAAGGAGGUGGCAAGGGAUAUGGAAAGCUGACGAAGAUUUAGGAUUAUUCCUUUUCUCAGAACUGCAUCACUUGAGAGCUUCAAGUUAGCAGGCCUAAAGUUAGCCAGACAUGCUAAUUCUGGGCUUCUUGUGAGUCUAAUUUCAUUCCUAGAAGUGGAGCUGUGUCUGCGCAAGCUUGGCUGAAGACCAUCAUUUCCAAAAGCAGUCAGGCACCAGUGCAAUUGUCAGUCACUGCUGAUGCUGGUUAUGUGCCUUUUGAAAAUCCCGCCAAGGACAGCUGAAAGUCUGGCCCCUAGUACACUCACUUCAAUUUACUCAGCUGUAAUUAGAGGUCAGCCCUGCACACACUGGAGUCCUCCCAUUGAACCGCUCGCAGCAAAAGAUCUAUACUAUUGUGAUGAGGGGAGCAAAAAUAAAUUCUACGUAUUGAAAACUGAAAAGUGAAGCCACUGAAGGGUAGGAAUGCGAUGAAUCAGUGGAGGGGCCCUAAAGCUAGUAUCUAACUUACAAACAGUACAAGGUAUUUUAUUGUUUAUCAAUGUGCUUUCUCCCCAUACAAACACCCGGAGACAACAGAGCUGUGUUUGUUAGUUACAAGGACACAGUGUCAUACAUCAAGCCAGAAGCAAGCCCAGGCUGAGAGCCCAGAUACAUGCAGUCCCAGUACUGGUACUUUGGGCCUUACUAAUCGGGGGAACCAUUACUUAUACCAUUACUUACUAAUACCUCGGCCUUACUAAUGCAGGGAACCUCAUUAAUCUGAACACAACGGGACCAUACUACCAUCUGAAUUAAUGAAAGCUCCUGUUGCCAGUGUGUGGUUAUAAACUGCAUAAGGACAUACUUCCUUUUUAUUUUUCCCUUUUUUUUUCUUUUUUUUUUUUGAAAAAUGAGAGUUUUGACAUUAAAAAAAGUAAUCCAAAAUCCUCAAGAAGUUCAGAGUGCAUGCACUAAACAUAAAAAUUCUCCUGCAAGCCACAACAGCAGCUGAUGCAGGGGUGGAUCAACUUUGUUAACCAAGCUGCCUGGGUUAGCAAAUUGUGGAAUAGGAGUAUUAUAGGCCCUAAGGACCUGGAAACUUCAUACACUGAUUCUCCUGGGCUUUGGAAGGAACUUCAGCAUCAGGUCAGAAGCUUUUAGGUCAGGCCUGUCUCAGGACUGAACUUUUGAAUCUUCACAUCCUCUGCUUAUCAUUUUCAAUCCCUCUCUGUAUUUUCUGUGCCUAAGAAUGCAUGGUUUAUGGCAAUUGCGUUACGUUGGCCAUUUGUUUCCAGAAGCAGUCAGAGGCAAGUGGUCAGCACCUCAGAUAAUAUUUAAUGUUGUCUUGGUGUCUUCUAAGAUGGCACCAUUUUUAUUUCCUAAGGAAAUCAUCUCCCUGGAGGCACAGACUCAGUUAUAGAGAUAAUGCUAAUUGCAAACUGCCAAACAAGUGUUAGUUCAAAAGCCUAGCGGUGGAUAACAAACGCGCUGACUUCUGGUGAUGAAGCUGGAGAGAACGCUCGCUUCCCUUUCAUGCUCUGUUCUGCAGAUCACAGAAAUAGGAGAGCUGCAGAAUAGCUAGGAAUGAACUGCCACCGUGUGGCCAAGAGAUGCCUUCAGUUACAUUUCUAGAAACCUCCAAGAUGCUCUCAGGCCUCCUCCACCAUGGAAGCAGAAUAGGAGUUAUCCUAAAUUUGCCCAGGCGGAAUUAUGAACUAGCUCUACAACUGUGAAUAGUUUGAACACACCUACUAAGUGCUAAUCUAAUCUUUUUCAUACAGCCCAUUCAAGCCUCAGCAGAUAACUAUAUACCUUUGCUAUGCAUUACCCUGGAGAACUUCCGGCAUCACUUAAUGUGGAGCUCACACCUUCUGCCUUUGUUGUAUCUUUAUGGCACUAAAAGGCUCAAACUGGAGUGCAUAUCUUGUCCAGCAGCCAGCUUUCCAUUAGCUGUCCAUAUUUCUUCUGUUUCUGUCAAAGAUGCUGCAAUUCCAUCUCACUUGCAUGUACUGCGGUUACACCGAGCUGCUCAACACUAUAGGACAGUGUAAAUAAAAUGAUUUUGAAUCCCUCUGGA
Numida meleagris (helmeted guineafowl) is the source of this 2112-nucleotide long non-coding RNA. RefSeq lists it as uncharacterized. Lineage: Eukaryota; Metazoa; Chordata; Aves; Galliformes; Numididae. The record is from RefSeq and is a predicted model, not a curated record. The transcript has 2 exons.